Molecule: ribosomal RNA, 252 nt
Filed under: uncultured Bacteroidales bacterium
Lineage: Bacteria; Pseudomonadati; Bacteroidota; Bacteroidia; Bacteroidales
Description: partial 16S ribosomal RNA
Rfam family: Bacterial small subunit ribosomal RNA
Source: RNAcentral
UACGGAGGAUGCGAGCGUUCUCCGGAUUUAUUGGGUUUAAAGGGUGCGCAGGCGGAUUUUUAAGUCAGCGGUCAAAUCGUGGGGCUCAACCCCAUCCAGCCGUUGAAACUGGGGAUCUAGAGUGUGCGAGAGGUAUGCGGAAUGCGUGGUGUAGCGGUGAAAUGCGUAGAUAUCAGGAGGAACACCGGCGGCGAAGGCGGCCUGCUGGACCGCGACUGACGUUGAGGCUCGAAAGCGUGGGGAGCGAACAGG